RNAcentral lists this ribosomal RNA (497 nucleotides) under uncultured bacterium. RNAcentral's name for it is "partial 16S ribosomal RNA". It matches the Rfam family "Bacterial small subunit ribosomal RNA", at positions 28 to 507 of the family's 1533-position model. The record is from RNAcentral.
GAUGAACGCUGGCGGCGUGCCUAAUACAUGCAAGUCGAGCGAACAGACGAGGAGCUUGCUCCUCUGACGUUAGCGGCGGACGGGUGAGUAACACGUGGAUAACCUACCUAUAAGACUGGGAUAACUUCGGGAAACCGGAUCUAAUACCGGAUAAUAUAUUGAACCGCAUGGUUCACUAGUGAAAGACGGUUUUGCUGUCACUUAUAGAUGGAUCCGCGCCGCAUUAGCUAGUUGGUAAGGUAACGGCUUACCAAGGCAACGAUGCGUAGCCGACCUGAGAGGGUGAUCGGCCACACUGGAACUGAGACACGGUCCAGACUCCUACGGGAGGCAGCAGUAGGGAAUCUUCCGCAAUGGGCGAAAGCCUGACGGAGCAACGCCGCGUGAGUGAUGAAGGUCUUCGGAUCGUAAAACUCUGUUAUUAGGGAAGAACAAAUGUGUAAGUAACUAUGCACGUCUUGACGGUACCUAAUCAGAAAGCCACGGCUAACUACGUG